RNAcentral lists this ribosomal RNA (1126 nucleotides) under Rhipicentor nuttalli. RNAcentral's name for it is "SSU rRNA". It matches the Rfam family "Eukaryotic small subunit ribosomal RNA", at positions 39 to 1161 of the family's 1831-position model. Lineage: Eukaryota; Metazoa; Arthropoda; Arachnida; Ixodida; Ixodidae. The record is from RNAcentral.
AAAGAUUAAGCCAUGCAUGUCUAAGGACAUGCCAAAAUAAGGCGAAACCGCGAAUGGCUCAUUAAAUCAGUUAUGGUUCCUUAGAUCGUUUCUUCCUACUUGGAUAACUGUGGCAAUUCUAGAGCUAAUACAUGCAGUGAGCCUGAAGCCCUUUGGGCGACGGGUGCUUUUAUUAGACCAAGAUCGAUCGGGUUUCGGCCCGUAUUGUGUGGUGACUCUGGAUAACUUUGUGCUGAUCGCACAGCCCUGCGCUGGCGACGUUUCUUUCAAGUGUCUGCCUUAUCAACUUUCGAUGGUAGGUUACUUGCUUACCAUGGUUGUUACGGGUAACGGAGAAUCAGGGUUCGAUUCCGGAGAGGGAGCCUGAGAAACGGCUACCACAUCCAAGGAAGGCAGCAGGCGCGCAAAUUACCCACUCCCGGCACGGGGAGGUAGUGACGAAAAAUAACAAUACGGGACUCUUUUGAGGCCCCGUAAUUGAAAUGAGUACACUCUAAAUCCUUUAACGAGGAUCAAUUGGAGGGCAAGUCUGGUGCCAGCAGCCGCGGUAAUUCCAGCUCCAAUAGCGUAUACUAAAGCUGCUGCGGUUAAAAAGCUCGUAGUUGGAUCUCAGUUCCAGACGAGUAGUGCAUCUACCCGAUGCGACGGCUCGGACUGAACAUCAUGCCGGUUGUUUCUUGGUGCCCUUCAUUGUGUGCCUCGAGGUGGCCGGUGCUUUUACUUUGAAAAAAUUAGAGUGCUCAACGCAGGCGAGUCGCCUGAAUAAACUUGCAUGGAAUAAUAGAACAAGACCUCGUUUCUGUUCUGUUGGUUUUUGGAAUACGAGGUAAUGAUUAAGAGGGACGGACGGGGGCAUUCGUAUUGCGGCGCUAGAGGUGAAAUUCUUGGACCGUCGCAAGACGAACUACUGCGAAAGCAUUUGCCAAGAAUGUUUUCAUUGAUCAAGAACGAAAGUCAGAGGUUCGAAGGCGAUCAGAUACCGCCCUAGUUCUGACCAUAAACGAUGCCAACCAGCGAUCCGCCUGAGUUACUCAAAUGACUCGGCGGGCAGCUUCCGGGAAACCAAAGUAUUUGGGUUCCGGGGGAAGUAUGGUUGCAAAGCUGAAACUUAAAGGAAUUGACGGAA